CGCCGGGAUGAGCGGCAGCAAAAGAGCCAGUCCCCGGUUGUCGCCUUCCGCUAGAUCGGCGAUCUGUUGGGCAGCCAAAGCAGCGUCUCCGGAGCUCAGUGUUGAGAAGAUUGCUCCGGCGAUGGCAGUACCGGCGAGGGAAGGUUUGGUUAGGAUAGGGAGAGGGAGGGAGAUGGGUUUGGUGGCGGGUUUUGAAGGGAGAAGUGGGGUUUUAUUAAUGGGGGUGAAGCAUUUGGCGUUGAGGAUAGCCAUAGUCGCCAUUGUUGCCGCCAUUGAAGGAGAGUGAAGAAAUUGGUGUGUAGGGAAUAGGAAUUAGGGAUGUGAAGAGCGUUUUUGGGAAAUUUGA
This 346-nucleotide long non-coding RNA is filed under the name Cucumis sativus (cucumber). RNAcentral describes it as "long non-coding RNA (CSAT_LNC002066)". The record is from RNAcentral. Lineage: Eukaryota; Viridiplantae; Streptophyta; Magnoliopsida; Cucurbitales; Cucurbitaceae.